GUAAGAAAUGAUUUCAAACCUUUGAAAACACUUUUACAAAUUGAUAUUUGUGAAGAUGUGAAGAUCAAAUGCAGCAAACAGUUUUUCCACAAGUUGGAUGACCUUAUGUGCAGGGAGCUUAAUAAAAAGAAUAUCCAAGCUGUUUCAACCAUUUUGGUUUCUUUUGGAAGAUGUGGCAAAAAUAUCAGUAUAUUGGGACAAGCUGGACUUCUGACUAUGAUAAAACAAGGACUAGUCCAAAAGAUAAUAACCAAUGUAUACAUUUCUUUUUUUUACAUGGUGGCCUGGUUUGAAAAAUCCAAGAAAAUUAUUCUGAGUCAAGGAAAUUCAAAAGAUGAAGCCGUUAUAAAUAUGAUAGAAGAUUUAUUUGAUCUUUUGAUGGUCAUACAUGACACUGAUGAUGAAGGUAAAAGGCAAAUAGUGGAAAGUUUCGUACCUCGAAUUUGUGCCCUGGUUAUUGACUCAAGAGUGACUAUUUGUAUUCAGCAGGAGACUCUAAAAAAAAUGAAUGCUAUGCUUGACAAAAUGCCUCAAGAUGCUGGAAAAAUACUCUGUAACCAAGAAAUGUUAAUUCUCAUGAGUAGUAUGGGAGAAAGGAUUUUAGAUGCUGGAGAUUAUGACCUACAAGUAGGUAUCAUAGAAGCUUUAUGUAGAAUGACCACGGAAAAACAAAGGCAAGAACUGGCGUGUCAGUGGUUUUCAAUGGAUUUUAUUGCUAAUGCAUUUAAAGAAAUUAAAGACUCUGAAUUUGAAACAGAUUGUAGGAUAUUUCUUAACCUCGUAAAUGGCAUGCUUGGCGAUAAGAGAAGGGUCUUUACAUUCCCUUGUUUAUCAGCAUUUCUUGAUAAACAUGAGCUGCAAAUACCAUCAGAUGAGAAACUUGAGGAAUUUUGGAUAGAUUUUAAUCUUGGGAGCCAGACUCUAUCAUUCUACAUUGCUGGAGAUAAUGAUGAUCAUCCGUGGGAAGCAGUCACUGUGCCUGAGGAAAAAGUACAAAUAUACAGCAUUGAAGUGAAAGAAUCAAAGAAGCUACUGACUAUAAUUCUGAAAAAUAUUGUAAAAAUUAGUAAAGGAGAAGGGAAAGAAUUACUUUUAUAUUUUGAUGCAUCGUUAGAAAUCACUAAUGUGACACAAAAAAUUUUUGGUGCAAAUAAGUAUAGGGAAUUUACCAGAAAACAAGGCAUUUCAGUUGCCAAAACAUCUGUGCAUAUACUCUUUGAUGCAAGUGGAUCACAGAUUCUAGUCCCAGAAAGUCAAACCUCACCAGUUGAAGAGGAACUUGUUAGUUUGAAAGAAAAACUUACCCCUCAAGAGGAAUUAGCUAAACCUCCAAAAUAUAUCAAAAAUAGUAAUCAAGGGGACAGAAAAAAUAGUCAGGCUGAGAUAAUUACUCCUAGCAAAAGAAAAAUGUCUGAAGCAUCAAUGAUUGUUCCCAGUUCAGAGAGAUACACUGUGAGAAGUCCAAUACUUCUAAUCAAUACAUCAACACCGCGAAGAGGAAGAAUUAAACCACCACUGCAGAUGACAAGUUCUACAGAAAAACCUGGUGUUUCCAAAACAUCGGAAAAUGGAGUGGAUAAUGCUGUAUCACUUAAAUCUAGAACAUCUCAAGAAAGAAAUAGAGGAGAUAAUACAGACAAACAUAUCAAAACUGCUAAAGUUGUAGAAAAUAAGGAUACUGAAUUCCCAAACCAAAAUUUUAGUAAGUACUUUAUGCAAGUGAACUUGUUUUCUAGGUUACCUGGUGCUUUAGACAACAUCUGCGGAAAUAAAAUGCACUCCAAAUGCGUAUGUUGGACACCUGUAACAAACAUUCAGCUUGGUAAUAACCGAAGAGAAAGUACUUCAUCAGGAGACACAUUUAAUCAAGAUACUAUUAUCAACAAAAAACUUGCUAAACAAAAAUCAUCCUCUUCAAUAUCUGAUGAUAAUUCUGAGGAAACAGGAAAGGUACAGUACAGGGAAGAAAGAAUGCAGCAUAACAAAGUAGAUGAAGCAGAAGUAGGAGUCUGCAAAGGCAGCAAACAGCAACUCGGUCGUCCUAAACACUUGGAGGAGGAAAGUACUGAAAAUACCAAGCAGAGUGAUUGGCGUAUUGAAUCUGAAACUACUUUUAAAUCAGUUCUCCUAAAUAAGACAGUUGAAGAAUCUGUGAUCUAUAGGAAAAAAUACAUAUUGUCAAAGGAUGUGAAUACUACUAUUUGUGAUAAAAGCCCUUCUCCUAGAAAAAAUGCAAACGGCGUUAGAAAAUCAGGGAAAAGACUGACGUCUGAACUUAGUUCCUGGGACUUGAAACCAAAAAAAACGAGAGAAAAGUUAAAAGGGAAAGGAUUUACUGAUGCAGCAGAAUCCUUGAUAAGCCAAAUUAAUAAGAGAUACAAACCAAAGGAUGGCAUAAAGUCCACAAGAAAAUUAAAGGAGUCUUUGACUGACAGUGGUUUUUCAAACAAAUCUGAUCUACAGCUCAGUAAGGAAAAGGUUCAGAAAAAAAGUUAUAGACAAUUGAAGACUACUUUCGUUAAUGUUACUUCUGAAUGCCCAUUGAACGAUGUUUACAAUUUUAAUUUGAAUGGAGCAGAUGAGCCUAUUAUAAAACUGGGAAUUAAAAUUAAUGUGUAUUUUUGUUUAAGGGUAGGUUUAAGGAAUCAUGAUGAACUUGAAACUUCUCUCAAAACAAAAGAUAAAAGAAUUGUAACAAAUCAUAAAAAGAAAAAUCUCUUUAGUGAUACUGACACAGAAUACAAUUGUGAUGACAUGAAGACAGAUAUUAGCUGGUUAAGAGAACCAAAAUCAAAACCACAGCUAAUAGACUACAGCAGAAAUAAAAAUGUGAAGAAACAUAAAAGUGGGAGAUCAAGACCAUGUUUGGAAAGGAGACAACCAAGAUCUAAAAUGACACCCAACAAAAAUAUCACCAAAAAGGUAGAUGAGACAGUUCCAGAGGGGAGAACCAGACUUCCACGAAGAGCAGCAAAAACCAAAAAAAAUUAUAAGGAUCUCUCAAAUUCAGAAUCAGAGAGUGAACAAGAAUUUUCACAUUCAUUUAAAGAAAAAUUGCUAGUAAAGGAGAGUAUACAUUCCAGAAGCAAAACUGUGAAGCUGCCAAAGAAACAGCAGGAUUCCUUUUCUGCCGAAAUACAGAAGGAUAUAUCAAAAGAAAGGAAAAACUCAUCUCUACUGAGAGAUACUCUACAAGAAAACAGCCUUGACCUAGCUCCUAUAUCUUUAUCUGGGAGUCCAUCAUCUAUAGAAGUAAUGAGAUGUACAGAAAAAGGAACAGAAAGGGAUUUUACUCAGGAUUAUGACUGUAUAACAAAAUCAGUAUCACCUUAUCCAAAAACUUCAUCACCUGAAUCCUUAAACAGUAAAUACAGCAUUGGAGGUCCAACAAAGUCACCCAAAAACAGUGAGGAAAAUUUACUGUGUACAAGAGAAAAUUGCUCACCAAUUCCACAAUCAUUCUUUUUGGUAAGAAAAAAAAAGUAUGUAUUUUCUCUUUUAUCAGAUAUACCUGAAGUGGGCAAAUCAUUUGAUAGUCAUUCAGCGUCUCCAUUAUCCAUGUCUAGUGAAGGAGGAGAGAAAACGCAGUGUGACAUGCCCUGGGACUCCACUCAUGCAUCAGGCCCUACACAACAUCUUAGUCGCAAACGAAUGUACACAGAAGACAACCUAAGUAAUUAUGAUGAAGUAGAACUGGAAGAAAGAGCAAACUUGCCUCCCAAAAAACUAUCUAAAGGCGAAGAUGCAGAUCAUCACAAUGACAAAGUGUCUGAAAGUGUAUCUCCGUUAUCAACAAAUGACUCUUCUAUUCCCGGGGAGAACUGGGAAACUGAAAUAGCAGGUGUAGGGAUUGUGUAUGAGCAGUUCAACACAGAAUUCAAGACGAAAGUUCAUAUCCACCAGAAACUGAUGGAUUAUUUUACUAAGCAGUUGUGGAAAACAGCCCAACAGCAUAUAAAAACAAUGAACCAUCAAAUUCAGGAGUACAGGAUCAAAAAACUUGAUAAAUUCCAAUUCAUCAUCACAGAGGAGCUGGAGAAUUUUGAAAAAGAUUCACAGUCUUUAAAAGAUUUGGAGAAGGAAUUUGUGGACUUUUGGGAAAAGAUAUUUCACAAGUUCAGUGCCUAUCAAAAAAGUGAACAGCAGCGGCUUCACCUUUUAAAAGCUUCAUUGGACAAGAAUGUCUUCUACAACACUGGUUAUGAAGAAACUAUUUUUACAUCUGAGAUGUGUUUGAUGAAAGAAAACAUGAAAAUGCUGCAAGACAGGCUUCUUAAGGAAAUGCAAGAGGAAGAGCUUCUUAAAGUACGCAGAGGACUGAUGUCAUUAUUCAUGGCUCAUGAAAGAAACAGUGUGUGACGCCUAGUUGUUACCAGCGAGUUUUAUCGAAUUAUGCUUUUCUGUGUAUAACUAAGGAAAUACUACAGUAGCUCUAUAAAGAGAAACACAUGUCACCCAGGCAAGACUGCCUUUGUAGGAACCUCCAAAUCCAAAGAAAUAUCUUAUCAAUGAAAGAACCUACAGUCACUAUAACAUGGUUCUGAGCCCAAAGGACUUUUGUCUGUACACUAUUACCCUUUUUAAAGAAAGUUUUGGGAAAUCAGACAAUAAAAGGAAUUGGCUUGUUUUGCA
This is a long non-coding RNA of Camelus dromedarius (Arabian camel), 4632 nucleotides long. NCBI's taxonomy places the organism in Eukaryota, Metazoa, Chordata, Mammalia, Artiodactyla, Camelidae. The record is from Ensembl.